UUAGAAGUUGUACAAGUAAGAUGGUUUGAAUUAUAUAUUGAUUGAAGUUUGUUUUAAAGGAGCAAUUCAUUGCCGUUUUAACAUUGAUAAGCUGAUCCCACCAUUAGAGCUGUUAUAAGUUCGAUUAUCCCUCUAAACUUGUAGAUCUGAUCAGAUCUGGUCAUCAAAAGAAAUCAAAACUUUCACAAUUACGGCGAAUUCUUUAAUUAAAUAUGCCUAGUUAAUCUGGAUUUCUGCUAUGCCAUGUUAAAUCCAUCAGAGAUUACUUCGAGUAAUGACGACUUUCUUUCUCCUUUUAUAUGUUUUGUAUCAUAUGGCAUGCUAAGAUGGUUUGUAAUAAUUAAUGGUUAUUUUCUGCUGUGCUUGUAGGAUGGCUCACCGCGAUAAAGGUCUUCUUAAUUCUACUCUUAUCCAAGACACGUUCGAGGGUCGAAGCCAGUUGAAAACACAGGAAAGCAAAUGUUACUUCCUCAAAGAUCUUGAGAUUAGAACGAGAGAAAAAAAAAAAAAAAAAAGAGCGUAAGGGCAUAAAACCAGAGCAACUGCUAACCUCUGUGCUACGAUAGUGUGUGAAUGGGGUACCAAAUAGCUUCGAUCUUGAUUUUUACCAGGGUCUCUUCCAUUCAUCUUGUCCACAAGGACCACAACUUCGUCGAUGUUGGUAUGAGAGGUAAUAAGCGUGUGGGAGUGUGUGUGUAUAUAAUAUGUUCUCUUUUCUUUUAAGUAUGAAGAGAAGUGGAAAAAGACAUGUUGAGCAUUGUUACCGGAUUCCAGAUAAAGAACAAGUUGCACUUCAAACAAUUAAUAAUGAUUGAUUGAUUGCAAUGUAAUAUUUUACCUGCAUUUUGAAAACAUUCAAAAUAUGAGCAUCAACCAUCUUUAAUACAGCCAUAAUUUUUUUUUGGCUUGAUCACAAAUUUGUUCAUUAAUAUUUGCAUAUUUUGUUAAAAUAACCUUAAUUGUAUUUUUG
This 970-nucleotide long non-coding RNA is filed under the name Gossypium barbadense (sea-island cotton). RNAcentral describes it as "long non-coding RNA (GBAR_LNC003795)". The record is from RNAcentral. Lineage: Eukaryota; Viridiplantae; Streptophyta; Magnoliopsida; Malvales; Malvaceae.